Molecule: long non-coding RNA, 542 nt
Organism: Nomascus leucogenys (northern white-cheeked gibbon)
Lineage: Eukaryota; Metazoa; Chordata; Mammalia; Primates; Hylobatidae
Source: RefSeq, a predicted model, not a curated record
GGCUUUCUCUCGGCCUUAGCGCCAUUUUCUUGGGUGAGUGUGUUUGUUUCCUGUGUUCGGAUUCCGUGUACAAUCCAUAGAUAUCCGACGUCGGCACUUACCAUCAUCACAGCAAACUAACUGUAGCCUUUCUCUCUUUCCCUGUAGAAACCUCUGCGCCAUGAGAGCCAAGUGGAGGAAGAAGCGAAUGCGCAGGCUGAAGCGCAAAAGAAGAAAGAUGAGGCAGAGGUCCAAGUAAACUGCUAGCUUGUUGCACCGUGGAGGCCACAGGAGCAGAAACAUGGAAUGCCAGACGCUGGGGAUGUUGGUACAAGUUGUGGGACUGCAUGCUACUGUCUAGAGCUUGUCUCAAUGGAUCUAGAACUUCAUCGCCCUCUGAUCGCCGAUCACCUCUGAAACCCACCUUGCUCAUAAACAAAAUGCCCAUGUUGGUCCUCUGCCCUGGACCUGCGACAUUCUGGACUAUUUCUGUGUUUGUGGCCGAGUGUAACAACCAUACAAUAAAUCACCUCUUCUGCUGUUUUAGCUGAAGAAUUAAAUCA